GGUCGCCUGACGAAAUGGCAUGGCGUCUGACUACUAACAUGUAAUCAUCGAUCAGGAGAUUGCAGGUUCGACCCCUGCGGGAGUCU
Fomitopsis betulina (razor strop fungus) is the source of this 86-nucleotide non-coding RNA. The record is from the annotation of a GenBank genome assembly. NCBI's taxonomy places the organism in Eukaryota, Fungi, Basidiomycota, Agaricomycetes, Polyporales, Fomitopsidaceae.